AUACGGAGGGUGCAAGCGUUGUUCGGAAUUACUGGGCGUAAAGCGCGCGUAGGCGGUCUGUUAUGUCAGAUGUGAAAGUCCUCGGCUCAACCGGGGAAGUGCAUUUGAAACUGGCAGACUUGAGUACUGGAGGGGGUGGUGGAAUUCCCGGUGUAGAGGUGAAAUUCGUAGAUAUCGGGAGGAAUACCGGUGGCGAAGGCGACCACCUGGCCAGAUACUGACGCUGAGGUGCGAAAGCGUGGGGAGCAAACAGAAUUAGAUACCCCAGUAGUCC
Molecule: ribosomal RNA, 274 nt
Filed under: uncultured bacterium
Lineage: Bacteria
Description: partial 16S ribosomal RNA
Rfam family: Bacterial small subunit ribosomal RNA
Source: RNAcentral